GUCAGUGGGUAUCCCAUGGGGGGAUGAGUCUUUGGGUAAAAACGAGUAUAUUGGUUAAUAUUCUCACUUAUCAUCUUUUGUAAGUCCCUCAUCGGGUAUUAGUUAGUAGCGCUACUUAGGUUUGGCACCCUCACACCGCUCCUGUAGAGGACGGAGGUGAACUAAUGACCCAGUCUGGCCCAGUACUAGAUAGGAGUACGUGGGAAGGGCAGUCGUGUAUUUCAGGAGCCGUCAUUGUUCGGAAUUGAGAUAUUAACAAUAUUACUUGCAUUUGUCAGUGAACGGUUUUACAUACAACUGGUAACAAACGUUUUCUAAAACUAUGAACUCACCAGCGUUGUCUGAUACACUUGUUGCAUGCUCGCAGCUGGAGUGGUCAUGGGUCGAACUGGAUGGAUACAAGUGAUGGGAUGACCGAUAAUACACAUUGGUUUUGAAACACAGUUAAACAAUGAUUUCUUUUAUUUGCUUCCGCUGAACAUGUUGGUUUACAUAUAAACUCAUUGUUGGUACCUUUCAUUAAUAAUUAGAAAAUUUAUUU
RNAcentral lists this long non-coding RNA (541 nucleotides) under Helianthus annuus (common sunflower). Its description in RNAcentral is "hypothetical non coding rna". The record is from RNAcentral. Lineage: Eukaryota; Viridiplantae; Streptophyta; Magnoliopsida; Asterales; Asteraceae.